AUUGAACGCUGGCGGCAGGCCUAACACAUGCAAGUCGAGCGGCAGCGGGAAAUUAGCUUGCUACUUUUGCCGGCGAGCGGCGGACGGGUGAGUAAUGCCUGGGAAAUUGCCCAGUCGAGGGGGAUAACAGUUGGAAACGACUGCUAAUACCGCAUACGCCCUACGGGGGAAAGCAGGGGACCUUCGGGCCUUGCGCGAUUGGAUAUGCCCAGGUGGGAUUAGCUAGUUGGUGAGGUAAUGGCUCACCAAGGCGACGAUCCCUAGCUGGUCUGAGAGGAUGAUCAGCCACACUGGAACUGAGACACGGUCCAGACUCCUACGGGAGGCAGCAGUGGGGAAGAUUGCACAAUGGGGGAAACCCUGAUGCAGCGAUGCCGCGUGUGUGAAGAAGGCCUUCGGGUUGUAAAGCACUUUCAGCGAGGAGGAAAGGUUGAUGCCUAAUACGCAUCAACUGUGACGUUACUCGCAGAAGAAGCACCGGCUAACUCCGUGCCAGCCGCCGCAGUAA
This 508-nucleotide ribosomal RNA is filed under the name uncultured bacterium. Its description in RNAcentral is "partial 16S ribosomal RNA". It matches the Rfam family "Bacterial small subunit ribosomal RNA", at positions 30 to 523 of the family's 1533-position model. The record is from RNAcentral.